CGGGUGAGUAACGCGUGAGGAACCUGCCUCAAAGAGGGGGACAACAGUUGGAAACGACUGCUAAUACCGCAUAAGCCCACGACCCGGCAUCGGGAAGAGGGAAAAGGAGCAAUCCGCUUUGAGAUGGCCUCGCGUCCGAUUAGCUAGUUGGUGAGGUAAAGGCUCACCAAGCCGACGAUCUCUAGCUGGUCUGAGAGGAUGACCAGCCACACUGGGACUGAGACACGGCCCAA
RNAcentral lists this ribosomal RNA (233 nucleotides) under uncultured bacterium. RNAcentral describes it as "partial 16S ribosomal RNA". It matches the Rfam family "Bacterial small subunit ribosomal RNA", at positions 103 to 334 of the family's 1533-position model. The record is from RNAcentral.